This 405-nucleotide ribosomal RNA is filed under the name uncultured bacterium. Its description in RNAcentral is "partial 16S ribosomal RNA". It matches the Rfam family "Bacterial small subunit ribosomal RNA", at positions 32 to 526 of the family's 1533-position model. The record is from RNAcentral.
GAUAACGCUGGCGGCGUGCAUAACACAUGCAAGUCGAACGACGUGGCGAACGGGUGAGUAACACGUGAGUAACCUGCCUUACACAAGGGGAUAGCCUUCUGCUACGAAGAAUAAUACUCUAUAGCGUACGAUGGACUUGCGUCUGAUUAGGUAGUUGGUGAGAUAAAGGCCCACCACGGCCACGAUCAGUAGCCGGCUUGAGAGAGGGUACAGCCACAUUGGGACUGAGACACGGCCCAAACUCUACGAGAGGCAGCAGUGGGGAGUUUUGCACAAUGGGGGAAGACCUGGGGCAGCGGGGCCGAGUGAUUUGGAAGGCCGUCGGAUUGUAAAAAUCGUGUAUAUGGGGUGCAGUACCAUAAGAAUAAGGUCCGGCUAAAUACGUGCCAGCAGCCGCGGUAAUAC